This 497-nucleotide ribosomal RNA is filed under the name uncultured bacterium. Its description in RNAcentral is "partial 16S ribosomal RNA". It matches the Rfam family "Bacterial small subunit ribosomal RNA", at positions 28 to 507 of the family's 1533-position model. The record is from RNAcentral.
GAUGAACGCUGGCGGCGUGCCUAAUACAUGCAAGUCGAGCGAACGGACGAGAAGCUUUCUUCUCUGAUGUUAGCGGCGGACGGGUGAUUAACACGUGGAUAACCUACCUAUAAGACUGGGAUAACUUCGGGAAACCGGAGCUAAUACCGGAUGAUAUUUUGAACCGCAAUGUUCAAAAGUGAAAGACGGUCUUUCUGUCACUUAUAGAUUGCUCCGCCCUGGAUUAGCUAGUUGGUAAGGUAACGGCUUAGCAAGGCAACGAUGCAUACCCGACCUGAGAGGGUGGUCGGACAGACGGGAACUGAGACACGGUCCAGACUCCUGCGGGAGGACGCAGUAGGGAAUCUUACGCGAUGGGCGAAAGCCUGACGGAGCAACGCCGCGUGAGGGAUGAAGGUCUUCGGAUCGGAAAACUCUGUUAUUAGGGAAGAAGAAAUGUGUAAUUAACUGUGAAGAUAAUGACGGUACCUAAUGAGAAAGCCACGGCUAACUACGUG